Molecule: ribosomal RNA, 511 nt
Filed under: uncultured bacterium
Lineage: Bacteria
Description: partial 16S ribosomal RNA
Source: RNAcentral
GGAGUUAGCCGGUGCUUCUUCUGCGAGUAACGUCACAGAUGUAAGGUAUUAACUUACACCCUUUCCUCCUCGCUGAAAGUGCUUUACAACCCGAAGGCCUUCUUCACACACGCGGCAUGGCUGCAUCAGGGUUUCCCCCAUUGUGCAAUAUUCCCCACUGCUGCCUCCCGUAGGAGUCUGGGCCGUGUCUCAGUCCCAGUGUGGCUGAUCAUCCUCUCAGACCAGCUAGGGAUCGUCGCCUAGGUGAGCCUUUACCUCACCUACUAGCUAAUCCCACCUGGGCUUAUCCAUCAGCGCAAGGCCCGAAGGUCCCCUGCUUUCCCCCGUAGGGCGUAUGCGGUAUUAGCAGUCGUUUCCAACUGUUAUCCCCCACAAAUGGGCAAAUUCCCAGGCAUUACUCACCCGUCCGCCGCUCGUCAUCUUCAAAAGCAAGCUUUUGAAAUGUUACCGCUCGACUUGCAUGUGUUAGGCCUGCCGCCAGCGUUCAAUCUAAGCCAGGAUCAAACUCUGA